RNAcentral lists this ribosomal RNA (253 nucleotides) under uncultured bacterium. Its description in RNAcentral is "partial 16S ribosomal RNA". It matches the Rfam family "Bacterial small subunit ribosomal RNA", at positions 524 to 776 of the family's 1533-position model. The record is from RNAcentral.
UACAGAGGCCUCAAGCGUUGUUCGGAUUCAUUGGGCGUAAAGGGUGCGUAGGCGGCGCGGUAAGUCGGGUGUGAAAUCUUGGAGCUUAACUCCGAAACUGCAUUCGAUACUGCCGUGCUUGAGGACUGGAGAGGAGACUGGAAUUUACGGUGUAGCGGUGAAAUGCGUAGAUAUCGUAAGGAAGACCAGUGGCGAAGGCGGGUCUCUGGACAGUUCCUGACGCUGAGGCACGAAGGUCAGGGGAGCAAACGGG